This 1729-nucleotide long non-coding RNA is filed under the name Carica papaya (papaya). Its description in RNAcentral is "long non-coding RNA (CPAP_LNC015709)". Lineage: Eukaryota; Viridiplantae; Streptophyta; Magnoliopsida; Brassicales; Caricaceae. The record is from RNAcentral.
UAAUGUAUUUUCUAAAUUUUAAAAAUAUUAAAAAGGUAAUUAAAUUCAUGAUUGUUAGUUUGUUUUCGUGCAUGCAAUGAACAUUAUUUAACGAUCAUAUUUUGUCGAGUGUCUAAUGGAUUUUGAGUGUUUUGUCUUCGAAUUUUGUGUGGAUAGAAAAGCGCAUGCUUAAUUUAAGUCAGAGAAAAUGGAAUAAAUUGUUUUGAAUGGUAUGCCAUGUGUGUGGGCUGCGCCUUCGACCUCAUCUUUGGGCAAUGGACUAGAGGGUUAUCCAAUUGGGCCUUAGUCUGAAAAGGUAACCCGAUGGCCCAAUCCAGGUAUGUGGGCCCUUGAUGUGUUGAGUUGAGGUACAGAUCCCCCACUAGUGGACCCUUGUUGUGUCCGGUUUAGUUUAACGGAUCUCCAUCAGGUCUGGGUUGGGUUGAUGGGUCCAAAUGAAACGAGUUUGAUUAUUGGACCCCCACCAGGUCAACAUUAGGUGUUGGGCUUUGUUGGGCUAGGGGUAGCCAAUGGACCUCAACUGGUAUGGGUUGUUUAAUGGACCCCGGUUUGAUACCAGCUCAAUGGUAGGAAUUUAGUAAUUCAGAAUGGUCGAGAAACGAGUAAGUAUUAAGAUUUAAGGAUGGGCCCUAUGGAUCAAAAUUAAUGAUCUAAAUUGUAAAUUUGAUUGUGAUUUUGAAUCGAUAAGAAAAGUGAAAAGAUUAAAAUAUGUUUAACCGUUGUCAUUAAGGGGUAAUCGGAUAUGAUUGCUAUCGACUAUUGGUGAAUCGCUUCCUAUGAAUGGUACUAGUGUUCUCUCUGAAAAGAGUGGAUCACAACUAAUUGUAAGGGCCACAAUGGCUAAAUACGGUCGUGGUAAUAGUUUUCAACUACUUUACCAUAUAUCGAAGUGAACUGUUUUUCAUUCAUAGCAGUAGUUGGGGAUCCUUUUGCCUUCUAUUGAUAUAAGUUAAAGUAGUUUCUUGCGAAGAUUUGUAAAAUCGAUAAUUCAAUCAAACCGUUUGAUUAUCCAGUUAGGACUGUUAAUUGAUUAUCCAUGCUUAGAUUGUUUAUAAAUUUGAAUUUGUUUCUCACUGUUCUAUUAUGUCAUGUCAUGUUAUUGUUGGUUCUACUGGUUUCUGCUAUAUUUUUCACUGUUCCAUUUUAUUACUUAUGGUUGAAACUGGUAUUAAAAAUAUAUCUUGAUUAAUUAAAAAUAGACAUUUUUGACGAUAUUUUAAAUGAAUUUAUUCUGAGAUGAUCCCCCAAUGGUAAGGUCAUUGAUUGUAAAGGUAACGACAUGUUUUAAAAAUAGAUAACCUUUGAAACUUUAGUAGCAUAGUUUAAAUACUAUUUUUCUUAUUGAGUUUUGUGGAAGUCACCUCAAUUCAUUUUCCCUAAAUGGUGAGAAAAGUGAAGAAUCACUCCCUGAGCUGCCUUUUGAAGCUUGUUUGGAUCCAUUCGCGGAUCUGUAGUGGACAUUUGAGUGCAUGUGAAUGAGUGUACUCUUAUGAAUAAUUAUCUUGUAAUUAAAGAAAUUGCUAGAACAAGUGUUAUAUAUAUAUAUAUAUUGUCAGCCAACUUCUUGGCUUCAAAUGUAUUUGAACAUUAAAUUUUUAUAAGGGAUGACUUUUCUUCCACUGUAUGAUCUUUUUAUACACUCAUAUUUGUUCUAUUAUCAGACAACAUUGCCCCAUCAGGUACUGGGAUGUCACACAAUAGACUCAAGUUAAUCUCAACUUUGUAUUAC